CUCUGUUAGUUAUAAAUUCCCUAAUGCUUUGAGCCAAAUUAAUUGUCAUUCCUUCAUAGGACAUCUUACAUUUCUGGCUACUGUUAAGGUAUUAUCUUUGUACUUGGCAUUCUUACAUAGCUUACUCUAAUCUAUCCAGGGAUGCAUUUCCUUAUGUCUACCCUAAUAUUUAGGACUACAUUUUCCUUGAAUCUGAGAGCUCAGAACUGUUCUCAAUCACUAUAUUUUUAUUCCUAUAUAUUUCCUUCUGUUCUUUUCAAAUCUUCCCUGUCUUUUGUCUUCCCUUGGUGGCAGCUUGCUGUUUUCUCUUUUUUUUUUAAUUUUCCAUUGUGUCUUUAAUUCUAUCUCAUAAUCUUUAUUUUGAUAAUAUUGUUGCCUGAAGCUCUUAGGAAUUUAAUCCCACUGUUUGUUAUAUCUUUGAACUUGCUCAGAGUUUAUUUUUCUCCCUUGGAUUGGCACUUUUGGAUUGUGAGCUCAUCUUCAUUGCAGUUUUUCUGUAGGAAUGCUUUGUGUACAUCCACAGAGAUUUUGUGUUUUCUCCUGCCAGGUGCUCCAGGGUUAAUUUUAUCUAAAUUGCUCAGAUUGGGGGCUCCAUGUCACUCAGAUAGUAUAAAUUCACACCCCAAAUACACCUGAGGAUAGCCACUACAUACAAAUUCUCAAGGACAACCAUUUUCUCCUACUCAGAAUCAGGCCAAGGUUGACAGGCUUUCUGUUAUUUCCCUGUGCCAAUGGCUGGAUUGUUCUUCUGGUCCACCUUUUCAUUGGAAGUGUAAUUCUUCAAAGGCAGAAGACAACUCUUGUAUAGGAAACUCAGUUCUAAUUUCCAGCCUCUUAUGGGCUCAAAGAUUCAUUUCCUAUUUCUGCAUGGCCAUUAAAAUCCAAAAAUUCAUUAGUUAAAAAGACAUACAAAGUAACCUCAACUCCCACCUUUGCCAUCCCAUGCCUUCCCCCAGCAUAGCCCUAGCAUCGGUUAUCUUAUAUUUCUGGUUUCUGUUUCCUCUUUGGUUUGGGCCUCCACAAGGGAUUUCCCUUAUCUUUUCACCAGAGAGGUUAGUGCCUGUGGAAGCACUCACUGUCUUCUAAUAAAAGUUCUUUCCAAUACCUUCGUCAAAACAGUCAUUUGUAAAUCAGCCAAUAUUUUUACAGCUCAAAGAGCAUUUUCAUGCCACUUAUCUUAUGAAAGUUGAGUGUCCACCUCUGACGAGUGAAAAAAAAAUAUAUGAGACUGAGGCGAUUAAGCAAGUUGCUUGCCCUGGUCAUUGUUAUGUAGUCAGCAGAACUAGAACUUUACUAUUUUUAGCAGAAAACACUGUUCAUAAAUUCUUAUAAGGGUAGGUGCCAGAAUUUGCUCUCCUGCUGCUACACUGUCCCAGACACUACCUAUAGGAGCUUAACCAACAUUAAAAGUUAAAUUAAACAGCUCUUAAAAUCUUGUCUUAAAAUGGUAGUUGUGCAAUUUCUGAGUGAUGCUAGCCAAGGGUGGAUUCCCCAGAGCUUGGAAGUAAACCAGAAAAGAACAAUGAGAUGUCCAGGCAUCGGGAAGUGGGUCCUAGAAGGUGAGGCCUGGAGAAAUUGGACAUUGCAUAGUCUGGGGCAACGUGCUGGGGUCCAGCACUGUCUGUGGCUGGCUCCUGUGUCAAAGGCUGCUGGGGGUGCAGCAAGAGGGACAUGGAGAGCCCGUGUGACUCACCCUGCCUUUCAUCUGCAUUUGCUCUCUUGGCAAGAGUGAUUUUCAUUGUACCAUAAGCUCAGUGUUACCAAACCCAUUUGGAGUGAUGCACUGACUGAAACUGCUCCUCAAGGAGAAAGGACUAACACCGGCUUCCAAACGGAGGCUUUGCUAUGUGAGUCUUGGCUUCUUGGCUUUCCCCAUGAAGAACUUCCUGUCGGCCCACAGACAGCAAGUGAGCUGCGGGAAAGCGCUGGCUGCUAGCCUCCUCCUUCCGCACUGGACCAGGGGCAGGGGCUCCUCUCAGAGACCAACCAGAGCAAAGCAGCUUGCAGGGCAAGGCCCAAAGGAGGAUCAGAGGCCCAAAGGAGGAGCAGAACCCAGAAGCAGAAGUCAGACCACGGGCGGGUAGGGACAGGUGAGCUGGGGAUAGAACCACUGAUCUGAGGCCCGAGGGGCAGUAACCACGUGGGCCUGAUCCAGGAGGGUCCCUAGAACCGGCGCUGUGGUUGCUGGCUGGUUUUCCUUGGAGGCUGGGGCACGAUGCAAGAGCAGUGAGUCUGAGUCUAACAUGUUAGGGAUGGGCAGGCAGCCCCAAGAUUGCAGCACGGAGUGGCCAGAACAUACCCCUGGAGGUGCCUGUGCAACCCUUCUCCACAGUGGGGUAGCGCACAGCCUGCUCUCCACUGAUCCCAGCUUCCCAGCGCCCUCCCCAGCAUCUGGCGGCCUGCGGAGCCUCCCACUCCGAGGAGGUCUCCUCCAUGGACUCCAGGCAGAGGAGGACGCUGUCCUGCAUGCAUCGCUCCCUUCAAUGUCCCAUGCCCAGGAGGCUGCGCCACAUUCUUGGCAGGCGGGGCCUGCCUCAUCCUGCUUUGCUGUACAUGUGGGCCCCAUUUGCAGGGGGCACCGCGCUGGGGUGGAGGAGAUCCAGAGGGGUGGCUGUGGGACUGGCCUUAAACACUUCCACCUGAGAAUGUGGAGGGAACACCCCCCAAGGCGAUGAAAGGGACCAGAGAGCAGGACGCUACGCACCGGGGUGCAGGGCCAGCCCACUGCACCUUCUUGCCACUCAGGGCUGGCAGCUACCAGGCUACCCCAAGGAGGCCAACCCCCAGGCUCUCAUCGUGGCUGCUGCCCCAGCAUCCGUGGCAGCCCAUCGCUACAGCAUUGGUGGGGACAUCUGCAGGCUCUGCCAGCCUGGAGCCCUGCCCUGCAGCUGGUGAGGCACCCCCACAAGGUGCCAGAGACCACCUGGUCCAACCAUCACUUCCCACACAAACAAACCAAGAUGCAGGACAAAGCCGCGGGAAGGGCAAAGCCCUCCCAGCACUGGCUGUGCCUAGUCCCUGCAAUCUGACCUCACUGCUCCAAUGCCAUUAGCUCCAGAACAUCCCACGGGGAACUGAGAGCGGGCACAGGGUUCAAGCACAGGCAUGGCAGAAUGUGCUGUGCAUUGUUUCAAGGUCCUCUCGGUGGCUGCAUUUCCCAGUUGAGGGGAGAGAGGCCUGGGGAGAGGCAGAGCUCUUAGAGCCCGGGAGGACAUUCUUGCUUCAAGGCUCAAGUAGGGGGAUGAGAAGGAGGACCCUUGGCCGAGAAAUUUCAAAAAAGGGAGAGAGAGGGGUGGGUGGGAGGCUAACACAAUUUAUGGGCCCUCAGAGCCGCGCCAGCUUGAGGUGGCGGAGCCUCUUGGCCCGGGGCCUGCCUGCUGACUUGAGCUUUGAAAAACAACUUCCUGUCAAUAAAUGUGAACAAAAGUUUGGACCCAUCUUCAAAGUGAUGAGUUAUGCUGAAAGUAUGUUCCUGCAAACGGGGGGAAU
This 3489-nucleotide long non-coding RNA is filed under the name Homo sapiens (human). RNAcentral describes it as "non-protein coding lnc-PER2-8:1". Lineage: Eukaryota; Metazoa; Chordata; Mammalia; Primates; Hominidae. The record is from RNAcentral.